UUAGGAUUAUAGUUCAGUUUUAAUUUAGGGUUUAUUGGGCAAAUUAUAGAGUACUUUAACAGUUUUGCUUAUAUGUCUAUUGAAAUAAAUUAGCUUUCUGCCUGUUCAUUAUUCAAGUCAGGGGUAAUUUUGUUGCUUUGCUGGGUCUUUAUUUUUAUUUUAGAGUCUUGGUUAUUGGUUUAGGAUGAUAGCAUUUCUUUUAGUUUUCUUUAUAAGUCCAAAUCCUUGUGAGCGCGAGGACUAGCUUUGGUGUCUAAUGUCUUAAAGGUUUAAGAUUAAUUUGAGUCUGCAAACACCUAGGUUCGCAGUGUUUAUCAUUAAGUCUUCAGUCAACAAAGUUUCUAACGAUUAUGUUUCUUCAAAAUGUGUGAUGCUCAAUUCAACCCUAGGUAUGCCUAUGGGACCUUGAGUGUGAGGCCCAAGGAAGUUAAGGUGUGAACUGUGAAGUCUUAAACCUUAAUUUACACUUCACAAUUCUUCUCUUCAUUUUCCAAUCCCAUCCUUUUACAAACCCUAACAUUCCACUGAAUUUCCAACUCAUUCUAUCAUUCAAAUAAAUCCCAAAUUUAGUGCCAACAACAGAUAUGCAAACUGUCCUACAUCACUUGGACAAGCAUUGGGUUCAUGUCUAUUGCAGAAAUGGUUACACUAAUUUAUUCGUAAUGCAUCUGCUAUAUUGAAAGAACCAUACCCACAUACACACGUUUCUUUGAGUUUCUAUAAUGUGUCCAACACAAAUGCAUUGAGUUAAAGUGAAGACUCAGAGCAAUAGAGGCAAGAAAUAAAUCUUAAAUCAACAAUUCCCUAGCCAAAGGCAACUCAUUUUGAAUUCAAAAGGAACCACCCCUCUUCACUCUUUCCAGCCUAUAAUUCCAUUCCCUUCACCUUCAUUCCACAUACAAAACACCUCUUCCCAUUACAUUUUGAUGUAGAACUGCUACAAAAAGAACUUGAUAUUUUUAGAAAAGACAGUUUGGGUUUGUCGAACUCAAGAAAAUUUGAAAGAUGAGAGGCAGCCUUUCAUAAAACAAAGAAAAAUUAAGCAAACAAGAUAAACUACUAGCCUCAAAGAAAAAUUAAGCAAACAAGAUAAACUACUAGCCUCACAUUAGCAGGAUCUAGGACUCAUUCUUAUCAAGAAAGCAUCACACUUUCCAAGGUUAGAAUUGCAUCGCACACGUACAACCCAAAAAUAAAAGAAUAAUCUAAUGGAAUUUUGUAGAUAGAAAUAAUAGGAUUCAAGAGAAAAGAGAACAAAAUCUAGAGAAAAGAGAGAAAUCGAGAGAAUAAUUAGAAAGAAAGGAAAGAAGCCACAGAAGAAGAAAUCAGAGAGAAAAGCUAUUCAUUCCAUAUCAGAAUCAAGAUGAGAUUACAAUGAAAGAAUUACAACUAAUAUAGCACAAUAACCACUCUUGUAAACGUGGCCUAACAACCCAACUAACUCUCCCUAGAUACCCGCCCCUACAACAGACUUCUAAACAGCUCCAACGGCAAGCUCACAACAGCUACCUCUUCUCAUGCACUUCAAGACAGCAAUGCACUGUUUCCACUUAUUCUCUCCAUAUAACACGGCAUUGUAUCAACAAAAUACUCCAUUCUUAAUGCUUUACAAGCAUAUGUACUUAUAUAAGCUCAAAAUUAAUCCGAAAACUAGGACUCGAGUUCCAUGUGAAAUUUGGAAUUCCUAGAAAAAGACUACUCCUUUGUUUGACACUUUGACUUCUAUUUUGACCAGGUUAUUAUUAUAGUACUUAAAACAGAUAAAAUUACAGAAUUCUACUGCUGCAUAUACACUGUUGAAUCCUGCAAAGACUAAUCCUCUCAUAGUUUGCAUCAUUUUUAGUAGAUUUCCAAACUAAAGUAAAAAUCCAAGCAAAUAAUUGAUCCCGUGGAAGUACUGAACCAAAUGGAUUCCCAUUAACCAAAGUAAACAAUUUAACUUAAUGCUCCAUUAGUUCCAUAGAAAACAAUAAUAACAAACUUAUCACAGUUCUAUCUGUGAACCACAAGUAUCUAGCGGACGAAUCAGCUUACCUGCUCCAUGUACCUCCACAUGACAUUCAAAGCAAGGAGAUUUCUUCCCAUGAACUCCUUCUUUAUUAAUUGAACAUCAUAAGAUCUCCCAUACUUGUCCCUAAUAAGAGUUGCAAGGUCUAUUCCACUAAAAGCGGAAUCAUCUGUACCGACAAUUCUUUCAAGAUUUUUUCUUAGCAUUUCACUAUCAACCCCUCCAGCUUCAUCUUUGGGUAAAUCCUUGUCACUCUCUUCAUUUUCAGACUCAUCUGGAUCAUGGGUAUCAUCCACUGGAAUAGAGAAGAUAGGCCUACAUUUCCUGGUAGUUAGGCGAUAACUAGUGGCAACAGAUUGAGAAUCAGAGAAAA
Molecule: unclassified non-coding RNA, 2381 nt
Filed under: Hevea brasiliensis (rubber tree)
Lineage: Eukaryota; Viridiplantae; Streptophyta; Magnoliopsida; Malpighiales; Euphorbiaceae
Source: RNAcentral